UACGUAGUUAGCCGUGGCUUAUUCAAGAGGUACCGUCUUCUGCUCUUCCCUCUUAAAGAAGUUUACAACCCGAAAGCCUUCUUCCUUCACGCGGCGUUGCUGGGUCAGGCUUGCGCCCAUUGCCCAAUAUUCCCCACUGCUGCCUCCCGUAGGAGUCUGGGCCGUAUCUCAGUCCCAAUGUGGCCGGUCAACCUCUCAGUCCGGCUACUGAUCGUCGCCUAGGUGGGCCGUUACCCCGCCUACUAGCUAAUCAGACGCGAGGCCAUCUUCCAGCGAUAAAUCUUUGACAUUCAAACCAUGCGAUUCAAAUGUGUCAUGCGGUAUUAGCAGUCGUUUCCAACUGUUGUCCCCCUCUGGAAGGCAGGUUCCUCACGCGUUACUCACCAGUCCGCCACUAAGCAUUCCUCUCCAUUGUCCGAAAACUCUUUCAAGGGUGCUCCGUUCGACUUGCAUGUGUUAAGCACGCCGCCAGCGUUCGUCCUGAGCCAGGAUCAAACUCU
Molecule: ribosomal RNA, 500 nt
Filed under: uncultured Oscillibacter sp.
Lineage: Bacteria; Bacillati; Bacillota; Clostridia; Eubacteriales; Oscillospiraceae
Description: partial 16S ribosomal RNA
Source: RNAcentral